Oncorhynchus masou masou (cherry salmon) is the source of this 261-nucleotide long non-coding RNA. RefSeq lists it as uncharacterized. The transcript is spliced from 3 exons. NCBI's taxonomy places the organism in Eukaryota, Metazoa, Chordata, Actinopteri, Salmoniformes, Salmonidae. The record is from RefSeq and is a predicted model, not a curated record.
GGACGGUGCCAUAUAUCUGCUGAGGGAGUUGAAGAUCAUCAACAUGUCUCUGGAGACUCUACAGUCCACCAGGAUCGGUAUGUCAGUGAACGCUGUGAGGAAGCAGAGUUCAGAGGAAGAGGUCCAGACCCUGGCCAAGUCACUCAUCAAGUCCUGGAAGAAACUACUGGACGGUUCUGAGGGGAAGGCUGUGGAGGAGAAGAGGAGGGAGGGCUCUCCUCUGAGGUCAUCUUCGUCCAAGGACUGUCCUGGAUCCAGCGA